RNAcentral lists this ribosomal RNA (910 nucleotides) under uncultured bacterium. RNAcentral describes it as "bacterial SSU rRNA". It matches the Rfam family "Bacterial small subunit ribosomal RNA", at positions 33 to 930 of the family's 1533-position model. The record is from RNAcentral.
ACGCUGGCGGCGUGCCUAACACAUGCAAGUCGAGCGAGGGUUUGCUCAGUAUUGAGUAUUCUAAAACUAGAAUGUUCAAUUCUGAGCAAAACCAAGCGGCGGACGGGUGAGUAACGCGUGGGUAACCUGCCCUAUACACAUGGAUAACAUACUGAAAAGUUUACUAAUACAUGAUAAUAUAUAUUUGCGGCAUCGCAGAUAUAUCAAAGUGUUAGCGGUAUAGGAUGGACCCGCGUCUGAUUAGCUAGUUGGUGAGAUAACUGCCCACCAAGGCGACGAUCAGUAGCCGACCUGAGAGGGUGAUCGGCCACAUUGGAACUGAGACACGGUCCAAACUCCUACGGGAGGCAGCAGUGGGGAAUAUUGCACAAUGGGCGAAAGCCUGAUGCAGCAACGCCGCGUGAACGAUGAAGGUCUUCGGAUCGUAAAGUUCUGUUGCAGGGGAAGAUAAUGACGGUACCCUGUGAGGAAGCCCCGGCUAACUACGUGCCAGCAGCCGCGGUAAUACGUAGGGGGCUAGCGUUAUCCGGAUUUACUGGGCGUAAAGGGUGCGUAGGUGGUCCUUCAAGUCGGUGGUUAAAGGCUACGGCUCAACCGUAGUAAGCCGCCGAAACUGGAGGACUUGAGUGCAGGAGAGGAAAGUGGAAUUCCCAGUGUAGCGGUGAAAUGCGUAGAUAUUGGGAGGAACACCAGUAGCGAAGGCGGCUUUCUGGACUGCAACUGACACUGAGGCACGAAAGCGUGGGUAGCAAACAGGAUUAGAUACCCUGGUAGUCCACGCUGUAAACGAUGAGUACUAGGUGUCGGGGGUUACCCCCCUCGGUGCCGCAGCUAACGCAUUAAGUACUCCGCCUGGGGAGUACGCACGCAAGUGUGAAACUCAAAGGGAUUGACGGGGACCCGCACAAGU